UGCGCAGGCGGAACUUUAAGUCAGUGGUGAAAUCUUGCCGCUUAACGGUAAAAUUGCCAUUGAUACUGAAGUUCUUGAAUAUGGUUGAGGUAGGCGGAAUGUGUUGUGUAGCGGUGAAAUGCAUAGAUAUGACACAGAACUCCGAUUGCGAAGGCAGCUUACUAAACCAUUAUUGACGCUGAGGUACGAAAGCGUGGGGAGCGAACAGGAUUAGAUACCCUGGUAGUCC
This 229-nucleotide ribosomal RNA is filed under the name uncultured bacterium. RNAcentral's name for it is "partial 16S ribosomal RNA". It matches the Rfam family "Bacterial small subunit ribosomal RNA", at positions 568 to 796 of the family's 1533-position model. The record is from RNAcentral.